GCUGACGAGCGGCGGACGGGUGAGUAAUGUAUGGGGAUCUGCCCGAUAGAGGGGGAUAACUACUGGAAACGGUAGCUAAUACCGCAUAAUGUCUNCGGAGCAAAGCAGGGGACCUUCGGNCCUCGCGCNAUCGGAUGAACCCAUAUGGGAUUAGCUAGUAGGUGAGGUAANGGCUCACCUAGGCGACGAUCCCUAGCUGGUCUGAGAGGAUGAUCAGCCACACUGGGACUGAGACACGGCCCAGACUCCUACGGGAGGCAGCAGUGGGGAAUAUUGCACAAUGGGCGCAAGCCUGAUGCAGCCAUGCCGCGUGUAUGAAGAAGGCCUUCGGGUUGUAAAGUACUUUCAGUNGGGAGGAAGG
RNAcentral lists this ribosomal RNA (361 nucleotides) under Enterobacteriaceae bacterium N78. RNAcentral describes it as "bacterial SSU rRNA". It matches the Rfam family "Bacterial small subunit ribosomal RNA", at positions 87 to 451 of the family's 1533-position model. Lineage: Bacteria; Pseudomonadati; Pseudomonadota; Gammaproteobacteria; Enterobacterales; Enterobacteriaceae. The record is from RNAcentral.